CCAUCCCCAUUUUGAGAUCAGAAAACCAAACCCAGAUCACACGUAGAACCAUCUCAUGGUUCUGUGUGCCUUUUUGUUCAGAAGACAAAUUGUUGCAGUUUCAGGCCACAUUUGCAGGCUGGAGGACUCGUGGGGAUUUUAUGAGCCUGUCAGAGCUGCACUGAGAGAUUUGACAGGGAGGCCAUAUUUGUUUCUCUGCAGCCGGCGCUGGAGGCGGUGCUUCAUGACCUCAUCAAUCGCCAGACAAUAACGGUCCCGUUAUUGUCUGGGAUCGUUGUUAUCAACAGCUUAUAAAAUUAGCUUCACAGUGAUCAAUAAGGCAAACGGGUAAGAAAAUAAUCAAGUGUU
Molecule: long non-coding RNA, 348 nt
Organism: Poecilia latipinna (sailfin molly)
Lineage: Eukaryota; Metazoa; Chordata; Actinopteri; Cyprinodontiformes; Poeciliidae
Exons: 2
Source: RefSeq, a predicted model, not a curated record